Molecule: long non-coding RNA, 1227 nt
Filed under: Struthio camelus australis
Lineage: Eukaryota; Metazoa; Chordata; Aves; Struthioniformes; Struthionidae
Description: lncRNA (ENSSCUG00000012822.1)
Source: RNAcentral
UCCUGGGCAAGGCCUGCCACCAUGCGUGCCACGCCAGGAGCUGCAGAGCAGCAAGGGUCAGCAUGUGUCGGGGAGGUGGCUGGCGGGACAAAUGAUCAAGAUAGACCACAAGGAGAGAGGGGAAAACCACUGCAAGGGUUGUGCCUUUUGGCUGCACGGUGCUGUAUUAGAAGGGGAGCGUUUGCAGAUCUCCACUGCAACCCUGGCACAGGGAGCCAGCUCGGGGCUGCUUGGCAUCAGCUCUUCUGGCUGCAGUGGCUGAUACCACCACCCACUUUUGUUUCCACCAGCCCAACACUGCAUCACCACCAUCUCAAGGAAAUCAGUCUGGCUGCCCAGUUCACCCCAAGUGCCAAGAGGCAUCAGCUCCACUUUCAGAUGUACCAAGAGGGGUGUUCUCACGGGUGGCAGCUGCUCUCAGCAUCAGUGUCUCCGGAGCCGGCCCCGUGCACGGGAGGGUGAUUUGCCAAGAGGACCUGGAGCUGCCAUAGUGGGGACGGGUCUCCUGCAGACAGUUUAGGGGCACUUCUGCAAGACAGCCCCAUCGUGGCCAAGAAGGAGGAGGUGGGGGUGCGCGGGGGACACCCUCAUAGCACCUCCUAAUCCGGCACCCUCCAGCCUGCCCGGUGGCCAGGGCACAAGACAGCCCCCUGACAAAUCCUCGCGCUCCCUUUCCAAACGCUCCCUCCUUUCUUAUUUGAAGAAGUACAGAUUGCUUUUCCCUGGAAUGCUUUUGUCUAAAAUUCCCUUGAUGGGAUUAAGAAAAAAAUGGACAACAGGUAAAAAAUAACUAUUCCCCUGCCCCAGUCCCCUCUGAAAGGCUGGGGGUGUGCUUGACGAUAACUCUGUCCCGGGCAGGGGAUGCUGGUGAUGGGAUCUGGGGAAGAGUGGGACAUCUGGGGGCCUUUCUCUUGUCACCGGGAGAUGGGGGGACAUAAAGCAGUAGGAACUGGGGAUACGUCCCAGGACUGGCACCUCGCCAGCCCACCAAAAGCCCUCUCUCUCCUCUCACCCCAGACAUCAGCGUUUUGUGUCGGGAGCAAGAGGAGGGCCAAAGCAAGGGGGGCUGAGCGGAAACAGCAGCGGGGCGAGUGGAGGAGGGGUCGGCCGCAGCGGGUACCGGGGCGUGCGCCUCGGGGGGACGGGAACGGGGAAGAGGGGUGCCGGGGACAGGCGAGACCCCCCCGGCCCCUCACUGCGCCUGGAGGGAGAAGGCCAGCUUGAGGC